GCUUAAGGCCAUACCACUUUGACAAUGCCUGAUCUCGUCUGAUCUCAGAAGCAAAGCAGAGUCGGGCCUGGUUAGUACUUGGAUGGGAGANNGCCUGGGAAUACCAGGUGCUGAAGCUUU
This 120-nucleotide ribosomal RNA is filed under the name Batrachoides manglae (Cotuero toadfish). The record is from RNAcentral. Lineage: Eukaryota; Metazoa; Chordata; Actinopteri; Batrachoidiformes; Batrachoididae.